UGCCAGCAGCCGCGGUAAUACAGAGGGUGCAAGCGUUAAUCGGAAUUAUUGGGCGUAAAGCGCGUGUAGGCGGUUCGUUAAGUCUGAUGUGAAAGCCCGGGGCUCAACCCCGGAAGUGCAUUGGAAACUGGCGAACUUGAGUACGGGAGAGGAAAGUGGAAUUCCGAGUGUAGGGGUGAAAUCCGUAGAUAUUCGGAGGAACACCAGUGGCGAAAGCGACCUUCUGGCCCGUUCCUGACACUGAGGCGCGAAAGCUAGGGGAGCAAACAGGAUUAGAUA
This 279-nucleotide ribosomal RNA is filed under the name uncultured bacterium. Its description in RNAcentral is "partial 16S ribosomal RNA". It matches the Rfam family "Bacterial small subunit ribosomal RNA", at positions 506 to 784 of the family's 1533-position model. The record is from RNAcentral.